GAUGAACGCUGGCGGCGUGCCUAAUACAUGCAAGUCGAGCGAACAGACGAGGAGCUUGCUCCUCUGACGUUAGCGGCGGACGGGUGAGUAACACGUGGAUAACCUACCUAUAAGACUGGGAUAACUUCGGGAAACCGGAGCUAAUACCGGAUAAUAUAUUGAACCGCAUGGUUCAAUAGUGAAAGACGGUUUUGCUGUCACUUAUAGAUGGAUCCGCGCCGCAUUAGCUAGUUGGUAAGGUAACGGCUUACCAAGGCGACGAUGCGUAGCCGACCUGAGAGGGUGAUCGGCCACACUGGAACUGAGACACGGUCCAUACUCCUACGGGAAGCAGCAGUAGGGAAUCUUCCGCAAUGGGCGAAAGCCUGAAGGAGCAACGCCGCGUGAGUGAUGAAGGUCUUCGGAUCGUAAAACUCUGUUAUUAGGGAAGAACAAAUGUGUAAGUAACUAUGCACGUCUUGACGGUACCUAAUCAGAAGGCCACGGCUAACUACGUG
Molecule: ribosomal RNA, 497 nt
Filed under: uncultured bacterium
Lineage: Bacteria
Description: partial 16S ribosomal RNA
Rfam family: Bacterial small subunit ribosomal RNA
Source: RNAcentral